GAUUUAUUAACUAUACAAGUAAUGUAUUUUGAAAAUAUAAAAAAGAGUUAUACUCUAUAAAUCU
RNAcentral lists this transfer RNA (64 nucleotides) under Amblyomma testudinarium. RNAcentral's name for it is "tRNA-Ser". The record is from RNAcentral. Lineage: Eukaryota; Metazoa; Arthropoda; Arachnida; Ixodida; Ixodidae.